Molecule: long non-coding RNA, 2561 nt
Organism: Helianthus annuus (common sunflower)
Lineage: Eukaryota; Viridiplantae; Streptophyta; Magnoliopsida; Asterales; Asteraceae
Exons: 11
Source: RefSeq, a predicted model, not a curated record
AACCUUAAAAUCCUAUCCAUCCCUGCCCUUAGAAACAAAUGAAGGGUCUCUCCAGUUUUGCAUUAAAGUCUCUUUUAUGUUUUCUUUUUGGAGCAGAUUAAGAGCAUGCAACCCUUCAAUGGAAUCUGAGAUGUCCAGAAAGGUGGCCGUAGGCCUUAUUUGGGGCGCUUCUUAACAAUAGAUUGAUUUUGUUGUGGAGAUGGCAGGUGGCGGCUUUAGGGGCGGCUGUGGAGAUGGCAGCGGCAGAGUCGAAAGGUUCGGCGGCAGCAGAGGCGGUGGCUGAAGAGGUAGAGGUCGCGAUGGAGGUAGCGGAGGGCAAGGUUUGCCGGCGAAGCGAAUAUGGUUCCUGGUGAAGGAUGUAUAACGAGAAGAGGAUCUUGGUGCAAGUACAGAGGAACCACCCACAUAUUCUACAAGACCCGAAUGUGCCAAAAGUUUCUUGAUUGAACCUGUCGUAACAGCGACGGCUGUACGUUCGCUCAUGGCCCAAACGAUUUGCGCGAACCGCCUCCGAACUGGCAAGAGCUUGUGAAGGAUAAUAGAGUUGGCGGACUCUGGCAAUGAGUUUAUUACAUCUGUUAUAAACGGAGCUGAUCUGGUCCCUACAUUUUCAGCUGCUUCAGUGGAUGAUUUAAAGUGGCGCACUGCACUUGAGAAGAGCUAUAGGUUCUCAAACAAGUCGAUGCGUUUGCAACAAAAGGGGUUAGCGCUCCAAGAGGAAAGACCAGUUUCAUACCAACUAUUUCCUAAUUGAAAAAUGUUUGAAUGUAUUUAAGUUAAUAUCUGUUCAAUUUCAAAUGGUGCAGGCAGACAUAUUUUUGCGAGGCUAUGGUGGUUGGAACUCCAGGCAAGCGGUACAAGUUCUAGAUGAAUUGUUUCCAAAGGUUGCUAUUUCGCCCGAAGUUAUUUCUAAAACAAAAUGUCAGGAGAUAAUGAAGCUUCUUUGCGAGUCAUUUAAGGCUUCACAUCUGGGAAACUUGAUGUUGGCUUAUGAUGGGAAGAAAAGUGCAUUCGCUGCUGGUUCCUUGCCAUUCGAGUUGAAAGAAUUUGUUGUUAACAUUACCGAGCGGAAUGGGUGGGAACGCGAAUUCAAGGUCACCAUUAAGUUUGCUGCAAAAAAAGACCUUCGCUAUCUGAAGAUGUUUCUGACUGGCAGUCAACAUGACAGUCCACAAGAAACUAUACAAGCUCUUGAAUCUCUUGAUGUAGUUCUAAGGGAGUCAGCUUCUAAUGACCGUGAAGUAAUUGGGAGAUCACUCUUUAGCCCUGUAUUUGGUAAAGGCACACUUGGUGACGGUAUUGAGUAUUGGAAGGGCUUCUACCUAGGGAUGAGCUCAGUACCGUCCGGUACCAAAUCGGUACCGGUACCGAAAGAACCGGUACUGAAAAUCCUCAAAAGUGGGUACCGGUACCGGUACCGAAUAUACCCGGUUCGGUACAGUUUGGUAUAGGUAUUUGAGGGUAAAAAACCGGUAAAUACCGGUACCGAACCCGUACCGAAAAUGCUAAAAGUCGGUUCCGAAUCGGUACCGAAAAAGUACCCGGUUCGGUAAAUUCGGUACCGGUACUUCUACCAGAGUUUACGACCUACACAAAUGGGACUAUCACUGAACAUUGCUUGGGCUUUCUAUGAAAACAAGUUGGUAUCUGAGUUUUUAAAGACUUUCUCAACAAGGAUAUAUCAAGACCGCUUAGUGAUCAAGAAUGGAUUAAGGUGAAGAGAGCUCUUCGAGGAGUUAGGGUUGAAGUUCGCCAUGGGGAUUCUGUGAGGCGCUACAAGUGUCAAGACUUGACACGUAACUUUUGUGGGUGACAGUGGAGCCACAAUUUUUGUUGUUCAGUAUUUCCGAGCAAAGUACAACACCACUCUUCGUUAUCCGUUACUUCCUGCUAUUCAAUCAGGCACAGAAGCAAAGCCUACGUAUCUGCCAAUGGAGCUUUGUACAUUGUCUUUUGGUCAAAGAUAUGCUUCAAAGCUAAAUGAGAAACAGGUGACUAAUUUGCUAAGGGCCACAUGUCAGCGCCCAAGUGAGAGGGAAGGUAGCAUUAUGACGAUCAUGCAGAGUAACAAGUAUAACGACGAUGCUCUUGUGAACAAUGAAUUUGGCAUGCGAGUGAGAGAGCAAUUCACUUCUAUUGAUGCGCGAGUUCUUCAAACACCACCAGUAAAUUCACACUUUUAUCUCCAUUUUUUCAAGUAACAUGUCGUUUGUAUAUCGUCUGAGGUUUGUCUUAAAGUAGCUUGAGCCGAGCUCGAGCUUCAUAAAAACAUGAGGAGCCUAGCUCAAGCCCCGUCAAGCUCGGGCUCAGACCGGCUCUUUUACACCCCUACUGGUGACCCAUCUGUUGAGCCGUUGCGUACUGUCUACUACUCAAACAGUUGACAAAAACUGACCUCUAUAGAAAUAUAAUCAAACAUUUGACUUUGACCUCAUCAAGUAUAUAGAGAUAUGCCUAAUCCCACCCCUAAAGUUGAUGUUCAUAUCCAGUAGUUGAACUAUUUAUAUACGCAUCAACUUCUUUAUAUUAUAUAUGAUUAUAUACAGUCAGUUUAAAUGGAA